GCUUCAACCUCACCUCUCGCGAGGGGUGCGUCCCACUGUCUCUGAUUAGCCCCGAGGUCAGAGGUAUCACGAGUCUCUGUGAGAGCCAACGUGACAGAUUUUUAGCAAUGAAAACAGACACACUCGUCAAAUCAUCUCAAUUGCCAACGCAGAAGCAUUAUAUAUACACAACAAGAAAACCACCAUCUACAAACCAUGAAGCCGAGUCUCGCUAGACACCAGAUCUGACAACACCUUGAUCUUAAGACCUCCCAGCCUCUCGAACUGUGAGAAAUAAAUGUUUAUUGUUUA
Long non-coding RNA from Pongo pygmaeus (Bornean orangutan), 291 nucleotides. RefSeq lists it as uncharacterized. The transcript has 3 exons. The record is from RefSeq and is a predicted model, not a curated record. NCBI's taxonomy places the organism in Eukaryota, Metazoa, Chordata, Mammalia, Primates, Hominidae.